GGUUGCUGACUAAGCGUACACGGUGGAUGCCCCGCGCAGUCAGAGGCGAUGAAGGGCGUGCUAUCUGCGAUAAGCGCCGGUAAGGUGAUAUGAACCGUUAUAACCGGCGAUACCCGAAUGGGGAAACCCAGUGUGACUCCGUCACACCAUCAUUAACUGAAUCCAUAGGUUAAUGAGGCGAACCGGGGAACUGGAAACAUCUAAGUACCCCUGAGGAAAAAGAAAUCAACCGAGAUUCCCCCAGUAGCGGCGAGCGAACGGGAGGAGCCCAGAGCCUGAAUCAGCAUGUGUGUUAGUGGAAGCGUCUGGUGGGCGCGCGAUACAGGGUGACAGCCCCGUACACAAAAGCGCAUGUGCGCUGUGAGCUCGAUGAGUAGGGCGGGACACGUGGUAUCCUUGUCUGAAUAUGGGGGACCAUCCUCCAAGGCUAAAUACCUCUUGACUGACCGAUAGUGAACCAGUACCGUGAGGGGUGCUAUGAAAAGAACCCCGCGAGGGGAGGAAAAGAACCUGAAACCGUGUACGUACAAGCAGGGAGCACCUUUCGCGUGACUGCGUACCUUUUGUAUAAUGGGUCAAAGGACUUAUAUUCUGUAGCGCAAGGUUACCCGAAUAGGGGAGCCGGAGGGAACCGAGUCUUAAUUGGGCGUUAAGUUGCAGGGUAUAGACCCGGAAACCCGGGUGAUUCAGCCAGGCGGUGCUGAAGGUUGGGUAACACUAACUGGAGGACCGGAACCGACGUUGAAAAAUUAGCGGAUGACCUGUGGCUGGGGUGAAAGGCCAAUCAAACCGGGAGAUAGCUGUUCUCCCCGAAAGCUAUUUAGGUAGCGCCUGUGAACUCAUCUCCGGGGGUAGAGCACUGUUUCCGCUUAGGGGCCAUCCUGGCUUACCAACCCGAUGCCGCAACCAGUGAAUACCGGAGAAUGUUAUCGACGGGAGACAUUAAUGGCAGCAACGUCCGUCGUGGAAGAGGGGAAACAACCAGACCGCCAGCCAAGGGGUCCCAAAGUCAUGGUUAUGGGAACGAUGUGGGAAGGCCCAGACAGCCGCAUGCUGGCCUGCUGCCAUCAUUUAAAGAAAGCGCACAGUCACCCGGCCGAGUCGGCCUGCGCGGAAGAUGUAACGGGGCCGUCCGCGCACCGAAGCGCGCAGCGACACCCGUGGUGUUGUUGGGUAGGGGAGCGUUCUGCGUCGCAGCGUGGCCUGUGAGGGUUGCUGGAGGUACUGUGAAGUGCGAAUGCUGGACAUAAGUAACGAUAAAGUGGGUGAAAAGCCCGCUCGCCGGAAGACCAUGGGUUCCUGUCCAACGUUAACCGGGGCAGGGUGAGUCGACCCCUAAGCGCGAGGCCGCCGAAAGGCGUAGUCGAUGGAAACGGGUUAAUAUUCCCUGCAAUUUGGUGUUACCGCGAAGGGACGGAGAAGGCUAUGUUGGCCGGAAGGACGGUUGUCCCGGUUUAAGCGUGUAGGUGUAGUUCCUGUGUAAAUCCGGUUCACUUUAAUACUGGAGGCGUGACGACGAGGCACUACGGUGCUGAAGCAACAAAUGCCCCGCUUCCAGAAAGCCCUCUACACCAGGGUAACACUGUACCCGUACCCCAAACCGGACACGGGUGGUCAGGUAGAGAAUAACGGCGGCGCUUGAGAGAACCUGCGAAGGAACCAGGCAAAAUGGUGCCAACUUCGGGAGAAGGCAGGCACGCUGAAUGUGGUGAAGUGGAUUUACCCACGGAGCUGAAGUCAGCCUGAAGAUACCAGCUGGUCGCAACCUGUUACAAACACAGCACCGCAAACAAUUUGUGCGGACGUAUACGGUGACGCCUGCCCGGUGCCGGAAGGUUAAUUGAUGGGGUCAGCGCAAAAGCGAAGCCCUGAUCGAAGCCCUGCAAACGGCGGCCGUAACUAUAACGGUCCUAAGGUAAAGAAAUUCCCGUCGGGUAAGUCCGACCCUGCACGAAUGGCGUAAUGAUGGCUGCGCUGUUCCACCCGAGACCGCUAGAAAUUGAACUCGCUGUGAAGAUGAAAAGUACCGGCAAGACGGAAAGACCCCGUGAACCUUUACUAUAGCUUGACACUGAACAUUGAGCCUUUACGUAGGAUAGGUGGGAGGGCUUCUUUAGUGUACCAAGGUCUGCAUGGAGCCGACCUUGAAAUACCACCCUUUAAUGUUUGAUAUUCUAACGUGGACCCCGUAAUCCGGGUUGCGGACAGUGUCGGUGGGUAGUUUGAUCGGGGCGGUCUCCUCCUAAAGUACCCGGAGGAGCACGAAGGUUAUUAAUCCCCGCCGACAUCAGGAGGUUAGUGCAAUGGCAUAAGCCAAAGUUUGACUGCGAGCGUGACGGUGCGAGCAGGCAAGAAAGCAGGUCAUAGUGAUCCGGUGGUUCUGAAGCGAAGCGGCCAUCGCUCAACGGAUAAAAGGUACCUGGGAUAAUAAUAGGCUGAUAAUACCGCCCAAGAGUUCAUAUCGACGGCGGUGUUUGGCACCUCGAUGUCGGCUCAUCACAUCCCAGCUGAAGUGAAGUCCCAAGGGUAUGGCUGUUCGCCAUUUAAAGUGGUACGCGAGCUGGGUUUAGAACGUCGUGGAGAUGCCUGGUCCCUUAUCUGCCGUGGGCGCUGGAGAACCUGAGGGGGCUGCUCCAGUACGAGAGGACCGAGGACGCAUCACUGGUGUUCGGGUUGUCAUGCCAAUGGCACUGCCCGGUAGCAAAUGCGGAAGAGAUAAGUGCUGAAAGCAUCUAAGCACGAAACUUGCCCCGAGAUGAGUUCUCCUGAGACUUAGGUUCCCAAAGGAACGUUGAAGACGACGACGUUGAUAGUCGGGUGUAAAGCAGCGAUGCGUUGAGCCAACCGGUACUAAUGAACCGUGAGGCUUAACCUU
Molecule: ribosomal RNA, 2875 nt
Filed under: Salmonella enterica subsp. enterica
Lineage: Bacteria; Pseudomonadati; Pseudomonadota; Gammaproteobacteria; Enterobacterales; Enterobacteriaceae
Description: 23S ribosomal RNA
Rfam family: Bacterial large subunit ribosomal RNA
Source: RNAcentral